This is a long non-coding RNA of Canis lupus familiaris (dog), 667 nucleotides long. RefSeq lists it as uncharacterized. NCBI's taxonomy places the organism in Eukaryota, Metazoa, Chordata, Mammalia, Carnivora, Canidae. The record is from RefSeq and is a predicted model, not a curated record. The transcript is spliced from 3 exons.
CCUUAAUCACAGGUCACAAAUCCAUUUCAAAAAUGAGAGGAUGAACAAUGUCCUGACAUCUCAAGAGGAAAGGAAUCAGAGGGGAAAAUAGAAGACAAUGCCUCCCUCCAUGGGGGGAAUAAAGCCUCGGAGAGAAGCAGAGAAGACAAAAUUCCAUCAAGGAAAGUUACGAAAUAGCCAGGGAUGAGGAAGCUGGAGUUCAGAGGCGUUAAGUACCUGCUGAAAGGUACGCAGCUGAUGACUGCCCGGGGUGGGCUCCUGAGCACAUUCUCCUACCAAGGCCUUCCUUUGAGCACUUUCCUCACUCUCCUAAGCUACGAGACCUCGAAUAAGCUAGUGAACCCUGGUGGGCCUGGGUCUCCUCCAUCGUGGUCUGGGCAACCAUCACCUGCUUACCGCAUUGUCAGAACCGGGAGAUAGGAGUGAGGCAACUCGCAAACUCUUGCGACGAGACGAGUUCAGGGAUGUUAAGGGACUGGCCCAAGGUCACCAAGCUGGACCUCCACCUGGCUGAGCCCCGGACCUGGACUCCAGCUUCUCGCGCAGAGUCCGGUGACCAAGGCAAGGAGGAGGAGAGGACGCCCUGACACAGGGCAACCGACGGCUGGGUCGCCGCCCCGCAGGGCUCUGGUCCCAUCUCGGCCGGCCGGGCCUCCGGCGGCCUCAG